RNAcentral lists this ribosomal RNA (497 nucleotides) under uncultured bacterium. Its description in RNAcentral is "partial 16S ribosomal RNA". It matches the Rfam family "Bacterial small subunit ribosomal RNA", at positions 28 to 507 of the family's 1533-position model. The record is from RNAcentral.
GAUGAACGCUGGCGGCGUGCCUAAUACAUGCAAGUCGAGCGAACGGACGAGAAGCUUGCUUCUCUGAUGUUAGCGGCGGACGGGUGAGUAACACGUGGAUAACCUACCUAUAAGACUGGGAUAACUUCGGGAAACCGGAGCUAAUACCGGAUAAUAUUUUGAACCGCAUGGUUCAAAAGUGAAAGACGGUCUUGCUGUCACUUAUAGAUGGAUCCGCGCUGCAUUAGCUAGUUGGUAAGGUAACGGCUUACCAAGGCAACGAUGCAUAGCCGACCUGAGAGGGUGAUCGGCCACACUGGAACUGAGACACGGUCCAGACUCCUACGGGAGGCAGCAGUAGGGAAUCUUCCGCAAUGGGCGAAAGCCUGACGGAGCAACGCCGCGUGAGUGAUGAAGGUCUUCGGAUCGUAAAACUCUGUUAUUAGGGAAGAACAUAUGUGUAAGUAAAUGUGCACAUCUUGACGGUACCUAAUCAGAAAGCCACGGCUAACUACGUA